RNAcentral lists this long non-coding RNA (7845 nucleotides) under Ricinus communis (castor bean). RNAcentral's name for it is "long non-coding RNA (RCOM_LNC000893)". The record is from RNAcentral. Lineage: Eukaryota; Viridiplantae; Streptophyta; Magnoliopsida; Malpighiales; Euphorbiaceae.
CGGAAAACACUGGGGUCCGGAAGCCGGUCCUGCCAACAGUGUCGGAAUUCGAAUCCGGAAGCGCCUACGCGAAGCUCAAGUUGCGAGGAGUCCAGAAGUACAAGAGUUUUGGCCGGAAAGUGGCCGGAAGGCGGCGGAUUGGGGCCGGAAAGUCGCUGCUCACGCGACACUUCCCAUGGCUGCCGGCAAGGAUUUUCCAACGAAGGAGGGUGGCUUCCGGGGUUUUCUGGGGUGGGGAGUCCGAUCCCGGCGUCUGAUCGCCGAAAACAAGCCGGCAAGAGGCCGAACGGCGAAGACAGCUCCCUACCUUCGGCCAACGUCGGCGGUAGCGGAGAGGAAAGACGCUGGCGAUAGCAGCGGCAGCUUGGCGGCUCGCCGGCGACGGAAACGUGAGGCAACGGUGGCUGCCGGAGGGAGAAGGAAAAAGAGGAGAAGUAGAGGGGAAGGGGAGGGAAAAGAGAGAGAGGGAGGAGAAAAACGAUUUUUGUAUAUAUAAAUAUUUAGUAAGGGUGUUACAUUCUACCCCCCUUAGAAAAAAAAUUCGACCUCGAAUUUUAAACCAUGGCCUACUUAGGAUUGAAAUAAAUGAGGGUAGAGACUUCUCAUUUCCUGCUCAGUUUCCCAGGUACACUCUUCAAACAAAUGAUUCCGCCACAAAACUUUGACCAUCGAAAUAAUUUUAGAGCGCAGCUGGCGAACUUGAGUAUCCACGAUCCUGACUGGCUGCUCCUCGAAAGUCAAAUCUUCACCAACUUCCACAUUUUGUGGUUGAAACACAUGCGAAGGGUCUGAAAUAUACUUUCUUAACAUCGAUAUGUGGAAUACCGGAUGCACAUGCGAGAAGUUCACCGGCAAGUCCAGCUUGUAUGCCACAUCUCCAAUUCUGUUAAUAACCUCAAAGGGUCCCACAUAACGAGGUGCCAAUUUGCCCUUCUUGCCGAACCGCAACACACCACGCAUAGGAGACACCUUCAAGAAUACAUAUUCCCCAACACUGAAUUCCACGUGCUUCCGCUUUGGAUCCGCAUAACUUUUCUGCCUACUAAAAGCUGUCUUCAGUCGCUCGCGAAUAACCGGAAUCUUUUCUGAAGUGAUCUGAACCAAUUCUGAUCCUGCUAACUUCCGUUCACCAACUUCUUCCCAACAUACGGGGGAUCUACACUUCCGACCAUACAAGGCCUCGAAAGGUGCCAUUUUGAUACUUGCAUGAUAGCUGUUAUUAUACGCGAAUUCGACCAACGGUAGAUACCAAUCCCAUUGACCACCAAAGUCUAUCACGCACAUCCGAAGCAUAUCCUCUAAGGUCUGAAUAGUCCUUUCUGAUUGUCCGUCCGUCUGAGGAUGGAAGGCCAUAUUGAAGUCCAACCUGGUACCAAGUUCCUCUUGUAACUUUUUCCAAAACCUUGAAGUAAAUUGCGGCCCCCUAUCAGACACUAUGGAAACCGGGACGCCGUGAAGACUGACAAUCCUUUCCAGAUACACUCUUGCAUACUUAGCUACAGAGUAGGUAGUCUUUACAGGAAGAAAAUGCGCUGACUUAGUCAAUCGAUCCACAAUUACCCAGAUGGAGUCAUAACCAGCAAAAGUCAAAGGUAAACCUGAUACAAAAUCCAUAGUAAUCCUUUCCCAUUUCCACUCUAGUAUAGGAAGCGGCUGCAGUAAAUCAGACGGCUUCUUAUGCUCUAAUUUAACCUGCUGACACGUCAGACAUUUGGAGACAAACUCUGCUACAUCUCUCUUCAUCCCGCUCCACCAAUAAUUUCCUUUUAAAUCAUGGUACAUCUUUGUGGAGCCCGGAUGCACGCUGUAAGUUGUACAGUGAGCUUCUUCUAAAAUCUCCUUCCUGAGAUUAUCCACAUCGGGAACACACAGCCUAGAGCCCAUCAUGAGGGUGCCAUCAUCAUUUAUAACAAAGUUAUUAGCUCGACCCUGCUGCACAUCUUCCAAGAUUUUCUGCAACUGUGGGUCCCGAUUCUGAGCCAUCCUGAUUCUGUCCACAAGCACAGACCUAAUCCAGAAAUGUGCUAAUAAUGCACCCGAUUCUAAUAUCUCCACCUGUAACCCUUGAUCAUACAGUUCAUGCAACUCUCUAACCAGCGGUCUCUUCUCUACACUGACAUGAGCAAGACUACCUACCGACUUCCUGCUCAAAGCAUCAGCCACAACAUUCGCAUUACCCGGGUGGUAGAGAAUAUUACAAUCAUAGUCCUUCAGAAGCUCUAACCACCUUCUCUGCCUUAGGUUCAAAUCUUUCUGUUGAAAAAUAUACUUUAAGCUUUUAUGAUCCGUAUAAAUCUCGCACGUCUCUCCAUAGAGAUAGUGCCUCCAAAUCUUUAAUGCAAAAAUUACUGCUGCCAUCUCCAAAUCGUGGGUCGGGUAAUUUUGUUCAUGCUUCUUCAAUUGCCUAGACGCAUAAGCUAUUACCUUUCCAUUUUGCAUCAGAACACAACCCAAACCCACUCUAGAAGCGUCGCAAUACACCGUGAAUCCACCAAUCCCAGAAGGUAAGGUCAACACCGGAGCUGAAGUCAAACAGUCCUUCAACUUUUGAAAGCUUCUCUCACACGCGUCAGUCCACUGAAACCUGACAUUUUUUUGAGUCAACUUAGUCAAAGGCGCUGCUAUCCUCGAAAAGUCUUGCACAAAUCGACGGUAGUAGCCUGCCAACCCUAGAAAGCUACGCACUUCAGUCACUGAAGUUGGCCUUUGCCAAUCAGUCACUGCCUCCACUUUCUUAGGGUCCACCUGAAUACCCUCUUUAGACACUAUGUGCCCCAGAAAAGUAACGCUUUCCAACCAGAACUCACACUUGGAGAACUUAGCGUACAAUUGAUGUUCCCUCAAAGUCUGAAGUACUAUCCUCAAGUGCCACGCGUGCUCCUCUUCGCUUUUGGAAUAAACCAAGAUAUCAUCAAUGAAUACGAUGACAAAACGAUCCAGAAAUUCCUUGAACACUCGAUUCAUCAAAUCAUCAAAUCCAUGAAAGCCGCAGGGGCAUUAGUGAGUCCAAACGACAUCACCAGAAACUCAUAAAGCCCAUAACGCGUCCUGAACGCCGUCUUUGGCACGUCUUCACCAUGGAUCCUCAACUGGUGAUACCCCGAUCACAAAUCAAUCUUGGAGAAAUACACAGCUCCCUGAAGCUGAUCGAAUAGGUCAUCGAUGCGAGGAAGCGGAUACCGGUUACGAAUCGUCGCCUUAUUUAGUUGCCGGUAAUCGAUGCAAAGACGCAAGGUACCAUCCUUCUUCUUUACGAACAGAACAGGAGCACCCCAAGGAGACGUACUAGGUCUAAUGAAACCCUUAUCUAGGAGGUCUUGCAACUGCUCCUUUAGCUCUUUUAACUCGGCCGGUGCCAUUCGAUAGGGCGGCAAAGAAAUAGGUGUUGUACCCGGUAUCACGUCAAUACAGAAUUCUAUCUCUCUAUUGGGCGGCAAUCCAGGUAGUUCUUCUGGAAACACAUCAGGAAACUCGCAAACCACCGGAACGUCUUCGACGCAACCUUUCCUUGCAGAGGUAUCCCUAACCAAAGCCAAAUAUCCCUGACAUCCACGGCGAAGCAUCCGCCUAGCUGCAAUCGCUGACACGAGGUUCGAGGGAGAAGGUAUCUGCUCACCUUUAAAAUAGAACUCUGAGUCUCCAGGAAUUCGAAAAGUCACUUGUUUCUCCCUGCAGUCCAACAUGGCGAAAUGCAUAGCUAACCAAUCCAUUCCCAAUAUCACAUCAAAAUCCAUUACAUCUAAAAGAAUUAGGUCAGCAACCAAAUCUCGUCCCUCAACAGACACCGGACAGGACGGAUACACGACAUCAGUCUCUAAGGCCUUAACGGCGUAGUGACCGACAUUGGAAUUCGAAGCCUAACGGGCUGGACAUCCAAUCUUAAGGCAAAACUAGGCGAUACGAAAGAAUGGGUAGCCCCAGGGUCUAACAAAACUCUAGCCUCAGAAUGACAAACAAGAAUAGUACCUGACACCACAGCAUUUGAGGCUCGCGCAUCUUGAGGAGUAAGGGUAAACACUCUAGCUUGCCCCCGGCCUAACUGUUGAGACCCUGAAGCUCGACCUUGAACCCUGCCCCCAGACCGGCCUCCUGAAGAUCUACCUCCAAAACUACGGCCCUGCUGGCCAACAAACUGAGAUCCAUCUUGAAAAUGUCCCGGGGUUGCAGGAAAAGCUGGUCGGGUCGCACUAGCGGACGAGCCUUGUGGAAAAGCUGGUCGACUGAAAUAGCGAGGACACUCUCGAGCCAUAUGUCCCAUCUCACCACACCUAAAACAGGCUCCACUGGAUGUUAGGCACGGUCCCUGAUGUGACCUGCCACACAUCUGACAAGUGCUGCCCCAGAACUAGAGCUGCUGUAGCCUGAACUCUGCCCACUACCACUGAAGCCCUGACCAGGUCUGAAUCCUCGGCUACUCCUCCUAUUACGCCUACCCUUUCUGUGGAUGCGGUGACUUCUCUGCACGGCCUGCUGGUCGGUACCUCCAGAGUAACUUCCACUACCAUAGUACGGCACGACAGGCUGUGCACUGGACUGACCCUCAACCCUGGUUUUCUUCUUCCUACCAUCGUCAGUCCCUUGACUAAACCCUCGUAGCGUCAUCUCCAUCUGCCUCGCCAUGUCAGUAACUUCUAGGAAGCUGCUCCUCCUAGAUUGAACCAAAGAAACAAACUCUGGGCCGAGCCCUGAAAUGUAUUUGCUGUUCUUUUGGUCCUCAGUCCCCACAGCAUAAGGUGCAUACCUACUCAGCUGAACAAAUUGCCUGGUGUAUUCAGCCACAGAUGAUUCUCCCUUAACUAACCUUUCAAACCUCUCCCUGUACUCCUGCCUUACACUGAAAGGGAUGAAGUACUCUUCGAAUCUGUCUCUGAAUUGCCUCCACGACAACCCAUCCAGAAAAGGGCGGAUCUAAUCUCUGAACCACUGGGAUGCUAUUCCCUUCAAGGAAAACCCGGCCAUCUCGAUGGUCCUCCUGUCAAAAUAGUGCAAAUCAGACGCCCUCUUUUCAACCUCAUCCAAAAAGUCCAGAGGGUCUCCAGCUAUCCCAUCAAACUCCACAGGUCUUAACUUGGUAUACUCAGACAUAGGGACAUCGUCCGGAUUCCUGAUACCGGACCCACUAGCACGACUUCCUGCACCCUGAGCAGCCUGCUGCUACUGGAAGACUAGCAACUGCUCUAAGGCCCUCUGCAUCCCAGUCAUACUGGACACAAAAGCCUCCACUGGAAUUUCACCAGCACCAUGUACCUCCUGAGCCUCGCCCUGAUCUGGUUGGGCUGCUGCUCGAGGCCUACCUCGCCUUUUGGUACCAUGGGCGGGGUCCGGAGGAGCCGUCUGAGCAGAAAACUCAUCUUCGCCUUCCUGGGCCGAUGCUGCAGCUGCAGUCGCUCGGGUUCUCGGCAUUGGCAAGAGCUGAAAAUGAACAAGUUAUUAACCCAACAGACUCUCUAACGUAUAGCGCAGAUACUAGAAUCAAUGAAACAUGCAAGGACAGACUCAAUUUUUCCUAGUUCCCGCAAUAGUUUAGAAAGCUAACCUAGGUCGAAGGAAAAACUAAACCUAAGCUCUGAUACCAACUUUGUCACGACCCACUUUGGGGGCCCGUGACCGGCACUUGGGAAUGGGUAGGCUUAAGGCCACCGAAACCCGUAGUAAGCCUUACCAACCCGCAAAUCCAUAUAUACAAUUAACCAAAUAUGAAGUAGUCAUAAUUGUCUUGCAUAAUAAAUCAUCAUACUACCAACAGGAGUCAGAAAGCUAUAUAAAUUUUAAAAUUUCCUACUGCGGAUACUCUAGAGUAAAAAUGACAAGUAUAGAAGUACAAGAUAAUUACAAAAGUCCGAAGAAGAAGAAGUCGGACUGUCGAAUGUGCGAUGGCGAAGGUCUUUAACUAUCACCUGAAAAAAUUACAACUGAGACUGUCAGUCUCGAGAGUGAGUCAAAAUCAAAUAAUCUAAGGACUAUUGCAACCUUCACAUGAUAUAUUAAUUAUUCAGAACAAUAUACCAAUUUCUGAAUAUAAUUGCAAUCAUAAUAUAUAAUCAUACACCAUAAUAAUAAAAUGAUAAAAGAAGAGAGUGUAAAUAAAUAAAGACAUUUUUACUUUCACGGGACGUGUGGCUAAGUAGAACCCUAACCCCAAAUUCUAACAGCCAUUUUGGCUCUCUUAAUCCAAAUAAGACUGGCGCCCCGAGAGCAAUGCUCGACCAGGGACCUUACCUCCAGUCUGGUCACUUAAGUAUCCAAAUAAGAAAUCUAGUAGCCAUUCGGCUCUCUUAAUCCAAUAAGACUGGCGCCCCGAGAGCAAUGCUCGACCAGGGACCUUACCUCCAGUCUGGUCACUUAAGUAUCCAAAUAAGAAAUCUAGUAGCCAUUCGGCUCUCUUAAUCCAAUAAGACUGGCGCCCCGAGAGCAAUGCUCGACCAGGGACCUUACCUCUAGUCUGGUCACUUAAGUAUCCAAAUAAGCCGGCGCCCCGAGAGCAAUGCUCGACCAGGGACCUUACCUCCGGCAAUUUACACAAAUCAGCCCAGAAAGCCAUGCUCGACCAGGGCAAACCCAUAAAUAUCUUAUUACAUGUCCAUGAUCAUUACCGGUGCGCACGCGGUCCUGAUGUAACCCAUCAGGCGGCAUGUUCUACAAGCCACGUUUCCCAAGACACAAUCAUCACAUAUAAUAAAUAUCAUUAUCUGAUGAACUCAUCCAACACAUAUCGAAAUAAAGAUUAAAGAUUUAAGAUAAAACAACGUGCAAUUUGUGAGGGGAAAAAUAAUAACGUUUGUCUUAUUAUAACAUACUAAUAAUAAUAUUUAUAUUAUUUCAAAUAUUAAUAAUCAAGUGAAAUCAUUUAUUUUGCGAUACUAGUAAUCAUAUUAAGCACAAAUUCUAAAUAGCAUAUUAAAAUCAGACUAGCAAUAGCGCAAAGAUUAAAUGACUUUAACUCACAGAUUUGAUGCGUUCCACAGUCCGCUCCUACGCCUCGGGUGGAGCUGGCGGGAAGGCUGAAUUAUCUAAUAACAAAAAACAUACAAUUAAUAGACAUUCAAAAAUUCUUCCUAAACUUAGACCCUAAGGUCGACUGCCUAGAAUUUAAUUGGACUCAAGGAAUCUACCGAAAGUUUGACAGAACCUCCCCUAAAUUUCGGAUAUUUACCCCCCGUAAAACGGGUCCAGGACCUUCCAAAAACAUAUCAAACAUGCUGGAAUUUAAUAACAGGAGCCGGGCCACAAGAACUGCAUUAAUAUUUUCCCGACUCCAAACACCACAAUCCAAACAAUUUAAUUUGAUUUAUUUUUAAACUACCCAACACAAGCAAUUAAUAGCCACAAUAACUUUCUAAUAUUAUAACAAAAUUUUGAGAGUCUAAAAUGAAAUUAUACCGAGUUAAAAAUUGAAAUAUUUCACGCGUCCGAAAAACACUGGGGUCCGGAAGCCGGUCCUGCCAACAGUGUCGGAAUUCGAAUCCGGAAGCGCCUACGCGAAGCUCAAGUUGCGAGGAGUCCAGAAGUACAAGAGUUUUGGUCGGAAAGUGGCCGGAAGGCGGCGGAUCGGGGCCGGAAAGUCACUGCUCACGCGACACUUUCCAUGGCUGCAGGCAAGGAUUUUCCGAGGAAGGAGGGUGGCUUCCGGGGUUUUCGGGGGUGGGGAGUCCGAUCCCGGCGUCUGAUCGCCGAAAACAAGCCGGCAAGAGGCCGAACGGCGAAGACAGCUCCUUACCUUCGGCCAACGUCGGCGGUAGCGGAGAGGAAAGACGCUGGCGAUAGCGGCGGCAGCUUGGCGGCUCGCAGGAGACGAAAACGUGAGGCAACGGUGGCUGCCGGAGGGAGAAGGAAAAAGAGGAGAAG